GCCGGGGUUUCUUUACCAGGUACCGUCAUUAUCUUCCCUGGCGAAAGAGCUUUACGACCCUAGGGCCUUCGUCACUCACGCGGCAUGGCUAGAUCAGGGUUUCCCCCAUUGUCUAAGAUUCCCC
RNAcentral lists this ribosomal RNA (124 nucleotides) under uncultured bacterium. Its description in RNAcentral is "partial 16S ribosomal RNA". The record is from RNAcentral.